RNAcentral lists this ribosomal RNA (764 nucleotides) under uncultured Streptococcus sp. Its description in RNAcentral is "bacterial SSU rRNA". It matches the Rfam family "Bacterial small subunit ribosomal RNA", at positions 28 to 776 of the family's 1533-position model. The record is from RNAcentral. Lineage: Bacteria; Bacillati; Bacillota; Bacilli; Lactobacillales; Streptococcaceae.
GACGAACGCUGGCGGCGUGCCUAAUACAUGCAAGUAGAACGCUGAAGGAGGAGCUUGCUCUUCUGGAUGAGUUGCGAACGGGUGAGUAACGCGUAGGUAACCUGCCUGGUAGCGGGGGAUAACUAUUGGAAACGAUAGCUAAUACCGCAUAAGAGUAGAUGUUGCAUGACAUUUGCUUAAAAGGUGCAAUUGCAUCACUACCAGAUGGACCUGCGUUGUAUUAGCUAGUUGGUGAGGUAACGGCUCACCAAGGCGACGAUACAUAGCCGACCUGAGAGGGUGAUCGGCCACACUGGGACUGAGACACGGCCCAGACUCCUACGGGAGGCAGCAGUAGGGAAUCUUCGGCAAUGGACGGAAGUCUGACCGAGCAACGCCGCGUGAGUGAAGAAGGUUUUCGGAUCGUAAAGCUCUGUUGUAAGAGAAGAACGAGUGUGAGAGUGGAAAGUUCACACUGUGACGGUAUCUUACCAGAAAGGGACGGCUAACUACGUGCCAGCAGCCGCGGUAAUACGUAGGUCCCGAGCGUUGUCCGGAUUUAUUGGGCGUAAAGCGAGCGCAGGCGGUUAGAUAAGUCUGAAGUUAAAGGCUGUGGCUUAACCAUAGUACGCUUUGGAAACUGUUUAACUUGAGUGCAAGAGGGGAGAGUGGAAUUCCAUGUGUAGCGGUGAAAUGCGUAGAUAUAUGGAGGAACACCGGUGGCGAAAUCGGCUCUCUGGCUUGUAACUGACGCUGAGGCUCGAAAGCGUGGGGGAGCAAACAGG